AAUUUUUAUCUUGAGGAGAAGGAAGAUCAAGCACCAAAUGUUUUGCAAUUUCUGUGUUAGUAUUGUCCAGGUAAUGAAGAGAAGAAAGUGUGCAGUUAGCAGUUGCUUCCAAGAACGGAACGCCAAAUUCUACACUGUCGGUAUUGAUCUUGACUCUAAAUUUUCCAUCAGUAUGUCUCACUAGUCUACCUACAAAACAAGCAAACAACAAAAACAAUUUUUUUUUUCUUUUCAGAAGGUGGAUGCAAAUGCAAGUAAAGUUUGUGAAUCUUUCAUUAUUCUUCACUUAUAGCCAUAUGUGAAAAAAAAUUGUUUGUUAGGACUAAGAUUUUGGUUUUUUAAAGUACUUUUUGCUACUGAAAUUUCUAUUUGUGUUGAUAACGUGUUGACUUUAAAAAUAUAGAUGCAAAAUGUUUCAACUCAUAGUCAAACUCUUUUUUGUUAUUUCCUAUGAAGCAUAGUCUCCAACACAGACACCUCACACGACAUUGACACAGACAAAUCGACAUCUCUAAUGUAAAAAAUAUAGGGCAUAAACACCGGUACAUAUAUAUUAAUUUAUUUAUAGACGGUCUAAAAUGAUAAUCAAAACACAUAUUUAAGCAUCUAACUUGAGCAGUUUAUUUCUUUAAAAAACGUUCUAAAACAAGAUACCAUAAUAUAUGACCUUUAUUUAUUCAUCUACUGUCAUAAAAGCUAAAAAUGUUGUAAUUAACUUAAAUUUCUAUAACUCCUAAAUUGAUCAACAUUUCUCAACAUAUAUGUAACUCUUAUAUCUACGUUGUGUGGAUCAAAGAGAGAAGAAAAAAAGUUCUACAUAUUUGUUUGUGUUGCCGACACAGCUCGUAAGAGUGUUAUAUAGGUGUCAGACACCGGUCUUAGCUGUCCGACACGUGUCGUAUAAGUGUCUUAGGAAUAUCAGACACCUAGGGAUGACAAUGGGUACCCAAUGGGUAGGGUACAAUAGUACCCUUCCCCAUACCCGCGUUUGUAAAAAAUGCCCGUGCCCGAGCCCGUACACUCGUGGGUAACAACUUUAGUGCAUUUCCUCAUACCCUAUGGGCACCUAAGUGCCCACACCCGUACCCAUUACCCACACUUUAAUUAUAAAAAGGCAAUAAAAAACAUCACCAUUGAAAUAAAACUAUGAUCCAUUUUUUUUUAAAGCAACUCAUAAAAUAGCAGAAAUCGAAGUAUUUAUCCAAAUAAAAAAACAUCCAAAAUAUUCCUCGAAAAUUAAAAUAAAAACAUUCAAAAUACAUAUAGUCAAAUUGAUCGUACUCUUCUUAUUUUAGAACUUAAAUGAAGUUUAUUUUACGGUAAAAAGACUAAUAAUUACCAUCGGUUGUUCUUAAAGAAAAAAACUAGUAUACCUGCUAGAGGAUAAUAGUAAAACAAAGCCUUGGACAACGCUUCUUUGAAUACAUGACAAGGGUUGAAACUGGAAUCAUAAUCAUGAAUUGAUGAUGAUCGGUAUACAUGAACAGUUUGGGCAAUGUUAUUAUUGGCACCUUUAUUGUCAAGUGUUGAUAGAGAAAGAAUACAAGAAGAAGUGGAUUUUGAUGGCUUUACAAGCAAAACAUCUUCCUUUUCAAUAUUUAGGGGAGCUUUCUCAUAUUCCAUGGAAAAGGAUCGAUGAGAAAUGUAGUGGGAGGUGAGAUAUUGAUUUGAUAUGUCUUUGGCAAAUAAGGAGUAAGGAUGAGCGAACACAUGGGAGAAGAAAUGCAUAUAUAUAAUAAACAUGCAAUGCAAGUAGGUCAUAUAUUAAAAUCAGAAAUUGUAAUAUGUACAGAAUCUUUUAAUUUACUUUAUGACAAUCUGUACGAAUCUUACUUGUACCAGAAUUCUGACAAACACAAUAAAAAUAAUGCAUCACUCUAAGUCUGCAACAAAAAUAAAUAAAUAAUGCAAAUCUUUCUUUUGUUCUAUUUUCAAGUCUUUUUUUACAAGUAAAAAUAGAACUUGAACCUCCAUUUUAUAAUACUUACAUUAUGCACAAAAGAUGGACAUUAAAGAUACUCCUUUGUCUACAUUAUAAUACUUAAAUUAGUAAUGGUAAUUUACACCCUCUAAAAACACUAAGGUGUAAAUUAGCAAGUUACACCCACCUAAAAACACUAAUGUAUAAGUUUGCAACAUACACCCACUUGAUUAUAUACACUCAUUUUUAUAAAUUUUAUCAAAUUGUUUACACUCACCUCACUAUUUUACACACACUCAUCAUUUCCAAAUAUUGUUUCCUUAGAAGUUGCCUCUAUUACAUGUUUUGUAUUUAAGCAUAUUAUUGUCUUUUUUGUUUCUUUUUUAAGGAUCUUCCUUAAGAUAGUUACAAAAUUGUCCUUUUAUUUAAAUUUAAUUAGAAUAGAAACAAAAGGUUAGUAAAAUAUAAGUGGGUGUAGCUUGCUAAUUUACACCUUACUGUUUUUAGGUGGGUAUAAAUUAGCAGCUCAUAUAUAUAUAUAUAUAUAUAUAUAUAUAUAUAUAUAUAUAUAUAUAUAUAUAUAUAUAUAUAUAUANAAACACUCAUUAUAAUUAUGUCGGCCCUAAUAGUUUAGUGAGAGAAACUCCACUUGUGGCUGGGGUUUGAACCCUGGACCUUGCAUAUUUUAUGCAUUGUCCCAACCAACUGAUCAGCUAAGUUCACGAGGACACUUCACUUCUCUCUAAUUUCUUAUUUUCCUUCGUUCAUCGAGGAAGGAUCAUUUUAAGUCAUUUUUUGACCUAUAUCUCAUCUACAUUUUUUUCUUAUUGCUUUCAAUUUAAAUAUGUGGUUUUCACAUAUAUCCAAUUUUUUUCUUUUGUGUUUUUUCAUAAUUUCUUCAACGGAGUGCGAGCGUCGUCUUGUGGUUCAUAUUUAAAUAUCGGUUUCAGUUAAUUACAAAUUCAAUCAAUUAUUUGAGCGUCAACAUUGUAGAUCCGGAAGCAUUUUGCCAUUGCAUGAUAUUAAGUUGGGUGUUGUGAGUUUAUUUGUAGAUUCAACAUUUAUGCUUUUGAUGAUGUUGAUCAUAUUAAUGUGUAUCCGAUGUACUAUAUCAAUUUGAAUGAAUUAAUAUUUUUGUUAUAAUAAAAAUGAAAUGUACAUUGACUCAGUCAUGGUAUUGUUUUUAUUUUUUAUUUCACGACUCCCACACGAUAACUUACAUCAAUUACUUUAUUUCAUGACUCCCACGCGACAGCUUUACAUCAAUUUAGUAAUGCAUAUGUAAGUCUCCAAAUUAAAAAAGGUAUUGAUUUAUUGACACAUUUCAAGUCGUGGUUUUGUUUUUCUUUAAAAAAAAAAUCGUGGUUUUGUUUUGCUUUUUUGUAUUUCAUUUUACUCCCAGACGAUAACCUUUACAUCAAUUUAAUAAUGCAUCUCUAAGUCUGCAAAUAAAAAAAAAAAUUAUGCAACUCUUUUGUUUGUUCUAUAAGCAAGUCUUUUUCUACGAGUAAUAAUAGAACUUGGAACUCCAGUCCCGUAAGCAUAGCUCAGUUGGUAAGAUAAAUCAUUAUUAUAUGCAGGGGUCAGGGUUCGAACCCCGGACACCCCACUUAUUCACCUUAUGAGGUGAAUUCUAGUCACUAGGCUACCUAACCAAAAAAAAAAAAAAAAACUUGGACCUCCAAUUUGCAACACUUAAAUUAUGCACUAAUCUAGAGAAGUUCACAAAAAAAAAAAUUACGGUCAAACUUUAUAAUUAAUACCAACACAAACUUUAUAUGGUUUAAUUUAUUAUUAAGAAAAUGCCAACUUGUGCCCUUUUGGUUAGCUUAACAUGUGUCUUAGGAACACAAGUUAGCAUGACCUUAUUAUUAUUAUUAUUAUUAUUAUUAUUAUUAUUAUUAGGUGACAACUAGGGUAUCCAUGGAAGAAUGAUGGGUAAUUUAUCCCAACCAAUACACAUUAGCCACAUAAGCACAUUUUUAAGUGAUAUUCAUGAACUAUCUUGACCCCACCAACAAAUUGCUCAUUUUCAUUGGUUGGUUGGUAAAUUACCCACCAUUCUUCAAAGGUAAUCUAGAAAAAACGUUAUUAUUAUUAUUUAGGAGAAUGCUAACCAGUGUCUAUCAUGUACUAAUUAAGCAAACAAAAUAAAUAAAUUUUUAUAUAAAAAUAUAGUGUAAUUAUUUGUUGGUCAAAAGAAACAACUUAUAGUUCAAUGACAAAAUUUCUAUUUAUUAAUCAAUGUCCAUGUAGCAUUGGUUAGCAAGAUCUAUUUUUGUUAUAAUCAUCGGCCAUUUAUUUAGUGUAAGCAAUUAUUACCUCCGUCUCUAAUUAUAAGAUCCUUUUAAGAAUUUUUUUGUCUCUUUUUAUAAGACCAUUUUCUUAUUUCCAACUAUUACCUAUUUCUUUAUCUAUGAACCCUCGUUUAUUAUACAUUUUUUUAUUCAAUCUACCAUAAAUAGCAUGUUGAAAACAUAAACAAACUCUCUCUCUUAAAGAAUAAAAAUAAUAGUAAUUAACAUAAAAACCUAAUCUAACCAUAAUACUACUCCCUCUGUUCCAAUGCAAUAAUAACUUUUUCUUUUCAAUUGUACCCUUCAAUUAAUACUACAUACACAACUUUCAAAACUUUAUUUUUCUUUAAUGAAAACAAACCAAUAGUUGAUUAGGAUAAUUUGGUAAAUUAACAUCUUUUUUUAAUUAAUGCAUUUCUUAAUGUGUGUAAAAACCUUAAACGACACUCAUUUUAAAACGGAAGGAGUAUUAUUUUAGGACCGCUAUUUAACAUAAAAACCUAAUCUUACGAUCAUAUUAUGCUAGAAAUCUCAGUUAACCGAAUCAUAUGCCUCGUCAAAAUCCACUUUAAAAAUUAGGCAGUUCUUUGGUGACUUCUUUGCUAGGUCGAUAAUCUCCUUCACUGCCACCACUCCAUCCACCAUAAUUUCCUGACUUUAGAUGGUUAGGUGAGAUAGUCUUGUGCAGACCUCCAAGUAUCUUAGCCACUAACUUGUAAAGAGACCCUAGGAGAGAGAUAUGUUGAAAUUCCCCAACACAUGAGUGAUGAAUUAAUCAUACAUAACCCCCACAUCUUCCAGGAGAAGUGUCCAAAAUCUUUUGAUAUUAAUAGAGAAAUUAAACCUGUAUUCCUAGACUCUUAAUACCAACGGACUGAACCACCACCACAUUAAUCUUAGAUAGCAGAAAAGGCGUUGAUAGGACAAAAUUAACUUCAAUAGAAGAAAUCUGUUGAAAUUCAAUACCAUAUAAAGUCGGACUAUCUUACACUGACUUGGAGAAGGGAUAAGAGAAGAAACUGAUCACAUCUGCUUUGACAUCUGCAAUGUACUCAACCCAGUUGUCCCUAACACGAAGCGCCAAAAUCGAGUUCUUCCUCUGUCGCAUCUUUACAGAUGCAUGGAAAUAACCCAUAUUUGUAUCCCAUCUUUAAGGGGGUGCGGUUAUGGUGCAUAAGGAAAUCCUUAUGCACCAUAACCGCAGCCCUUUAAGGGGUACAUGUAUGCGAAGGCAUGCAAAUCUUUGCACUUAACGGGUGUAUGUAUGCGAAGGCAUGGCUCCUAAUUACACCCUCCUCCGGAGAAAAUAAAACCCUUGGCUUUCAAGUCCAAAACCCUAAUCUUCUAACCUAGUAUCUCAAUUCUAAGAUCAAUAUUACCAAAAACCUCCCGACUCCAAAUUUUGAAAUCCCCUUUAAGCAUGUUGAGCUUCUCCUUGAAAAUAUAUUGGCAACAUGUAGCACAUCUCUAAUAUUCUUCUUUUCUCAUUAAGAAAUAUAUUAGUCCUCUCUUGAAGAUGAUUCUUGUUGAGCUUCUCGUUGCUUGUAUUAUGAAUGAUGGUGGCUUCUCUUGUUACGAAUUAGUUUUUCAUUUUGUUUGCGUCUUGUUGGUUUUGGGUUUGGUCUUGAUUGGCUACGCUCUCUUGAUAUUAGUGAGAUUUGAGUCUUUCUUUGUUUAUUGGUUUGGAGUACCCCCAAAUACUCGUUUUAUCAAUAUAAUAAUUGUUAUAUAAAAAGAAAUAUAUCGAGGCGUACAAACAAAAUCAUCCAUAUGACAUUUACAUAUAAUAAAAUGGCACAGUUGUACAAUUAUUUAGAAAUAAUUUAUAGUAGUAAUAAAACAAAAUACAUAAUCAUGACAAAGUGAUUACAAUGUUAUAGUGUGGAUCACCUACAACUUCGAGUAAAGAAACCUUAAAGCUUCAAUUUCGUCCUUGAACUUAGGCAUGGCAUCAACAGGGAGUGAUGUGAAAAUCCUAACUCCUCCAUCCAUUGAUGGAUCAUGAUCAUCAAGUUUAUUAGGAGACGAGAAAAUGCACGCAUCAACGGUAGCAAGCAUCUUGCACGGUGCUGGUACUAAAUUCACAACUUCAUAGCCUCCAAAAUCUAUAUUUUCAUGAAAACCCAAAUGCUUCCACUCUGUCAAAACUGUUACUGCACCACUUGCUUCCAAUUCCAUGCUGAAAUCCUCCUCUUGAUUUGUCUCCACAGAGUUGAUUGAAUUAGUAACAUAAUCAGUGGUGAAAGAAAUAUUUUUAGUCUCUUUAAUCAGCUUAACAAUUUCAUAGAGUGGCAUUUCAUCGAGCUCACUCACUUUUAAAACAACUUUUGCAUCCAUGGUAGAAUUCCCGUAAUACCCUUUCGGUAAAGUAUCAAAAUCCAUCAAGUUACGUCUCAUACCAACUAACAUAUUCAGCAUUGUUUUAUCAUUGCUGCUAAGCUUUAAGGCUCUUGCUCUUGACCUCCACACAUAACCUGCAAGAACUUCAAAAGUUGUAAACCCUAUUUUUUCACUUUUAUUCAUCAAACUCAACUUAAGUCUUGUUAUCGUUUCGCCCUCUACUUUAAAAGAAUAUUGCUUAAUAAUUGUAGUAUUAGUUUGAUUCACAAAGGGUGAAAAUGCAACAGAUUUUCUGUCCAUGGGACAUUGUGGAAAAGGUUGUAUAGCUAUUGAUCCAACUUGUGUUUCUCUUUCCCACACAGGUUUCACAGAUGGCUCAGUUCUUCCUCUUGCAAGUUCAACAACUGCUUUGAAGAAUUGUGAUGCACCAAAUCCGUCACAAAUAGCAUGUGACAUCCCCAUUCCAAUUGUGAAACCACCACAGAGAAAUUUUGUCACCAUUAACACCAAAGGGUAAUUUUUAUCCUGAGGAGUAGGAAAAUCAAGCACCAAAUGUUUUGCAAUUUCAGUGUUAGUAUUGUCCAGGUAAUGAAGGGAAGAAAGUGUGCAGUUAGCAGUUGCUUCCAAGAACGGAACGCCAAAUUCUGCACUGUCGAUAUUGAUCUUGACUCUAAAUUUUCCAUCGGCAUGUCUCACCAGUCUACCUGCAAAACAAGCGAACAACAACAAUUUUUUUCUGAAGAUUGAUGCAAUUAAAGAUUGUGGAUAUUUCAUUAUUCUUGAUCAAUGGUCAUUUGGAAGAAAUUAGUUUGUUCAUUAGGAUUAAUAU
This 7387-nucleotide long non-coding RNA is filed under the name Medicago truncatula (barrel medic). Its description in RNAcentral is "long non-coding RNA (MTRU_LNC000757)". Lineage: Eukaryota; Viridiplantae; Streptophyta; Magnoliopsida; Fabales; Fabaceae. The record is from RNAcentral.